CAAUAUUCGUAACGUCAGCGGCAUAAUGGUGAGAAAUAUUUUCUAACAAUGUUAACUUUUUUAUCGCACUAUGUUUGUAAAAAAUAUGUUUCAUGAUAAACGAAGUUUAUGAAUUUCCUCUCAUGUUUCUUUUGUUUGAAUAACCAAUGAAGUUUUACUAGAGGGUGGAGGGAGCAGGAACAUCUUAACAUUGUUCUCUUGAGCAACACAACAAUGGUAAAACGAAUCUUCUUGAGCAACUCUCUUUGGAAACUAUAAAUCAUUUUUGGUACAAGUUAUUUAUGAACAAAACGUAAUUUGUUUUUAAUGCAUUAUUUCCCCUGUUUAUUACAACUGUAGAAGUUAUUUAUGAUUUGAGUUAAUGAACUUUCGAUUUUAUAUUUAUUUUAUUGUUGAAUGAUGAAAGAGGUGUACCAAAUAAGCAUAUCUAGAAGUAUAUAUAUAUAUAUAUAUAUAAAUUGUGCUCACAAGGGUAGAACCAAUCUCACUUAUAUGGAACUUUGACUAGUUAAUUUUUUUCUCGCAUUAUGGUUACAAGGUCAAUACUAAUUCAAAAAAAAGUUUAUGAAAACUCUCUCAUGUGUCUUUUGCCGUUGACCAAUUGAUGAAGUAUGGCAAGUAAUGCUAUCGGAGCAUCUUGAAGAAUUUAUUCUAGUAGAAGGUCCAACUCAGCUUCCUUGAGGCAUUCCACAAAAGGGUAGAAUCGAAUAGAAAAUGUGAUAAUUUACAAACAUUGCUCUCUUUGUAAAAUAGACCUUCUUAUUCUUAUGACUAAUACGAAAAAAAUAAAAAAAUCACAUCCUUCUUUUUAAAAAAUAGGAAUUUAUUCCAAGAAUAUUUGUAAUAUCCCUCUUUGAAUAUGGAUCCAAGGACUCCAAUUUGUUAUCCCUAAUAUGACAUGGCCAACUAAAGAAACAUUAUAAUUUCGCUUGUGACUUAAGUAAAUCCAUUGGACAUAUGCAAAAUUGAUUAUAUAUCCGAUGGUUUGAGUUGAAUCCUACCACAUGGAUGUUGUAGGAUGGCGUUGGGUGGUUUGGAGGAGUCUAUUACGUAUUGGAGCCUAAUGUCGCUUAUUUUUAUUGGAUUUAAUCAACUUUGACAUUUGGUGAAGUGUGAUUGAAUACUCAGUAUCGUACUUCUCUGAUAGUCAUCUUGGAUUGAAACUAACUACACCUAGUUUCUCCAUAUAACCCAUUCAAUUAUAUUGAGUGUUGUUAUCAAGAUUGCUAGGUGCAAAAAGUUGGUUGCCAUUCCUUUAGUCCGAGGCGCAAGCCGCUAGCCUAGAUGCUAGCGGUAGCCGAAUGAGGUGCAACAUUAUAUAUUUUAUGGUCUAUAUAGGUAGAAACUAUUCGCUUCAGUUUCUUUGGUUGUCCAUUGUUUUUUUUCUAGCUAUAGUAGCUUCUCUCUUGUUCUUCAUAUUUUCUAUAUCAGUCACAUCACCUAUGUUUUUUGAUUAGAUGUUGUAACUAGUCUAUUUGGUUUAGAUUUUGGCAUUGAUACCGACCAAAUAGAACUGGAUGAUUUGUCUAGAGUGUUUAGCCCUGGAUGUAACUACAUAUGGAUAAACCUUGGAUAGAGGGCCCACCAUAAAAUCCAUGGAAACGGCUUCAGACCAUGAUGCAUACUGCAUAGGUGAUGACAGUCCAGAAUUAUAUCCUCUUCAAGUAGGAAAAAAAUAUAAACAUUGGAUGGGGACCGCACCAAAAAAUCCAUGGAAAUUACUUCAGGCAUGGAUGCAUACCGCCUAUUUAACACCUGUCCAGAUUUUUGACCGUUCAAGUAGAAAAAUAAAAUAAACUCUGGAUGGAGGCGCACCACAAAAUGUAUAGAAAAUUCUUUAGGUCUGGAUGCAUCCAACCCUUGAACUCGACAAACAAAAAUAAACAUUUGGAAAUAGGGAGUACCAUAAAAUCCAUUGUAAUUGCUUCAGGCCUGGAUGCAUAUGAUGACUGUCCAGAUAUUUGGCCCAUUAAAGUCAGCAAACAUAGUCAACUUCGGAAGGAGGGCGUACUACAAGAGCCACGGAAACUGGUUGAGGCAUGGAACAUACUGUUUACAUGACGACUAGCCAAAUUUUAUUCAAGGGGUCGAACUGAAUAAACUUUGCAUUAAAACUACUUAAGAUCGGGAUGCCUAUUGUUUAGAUAUUCAUUCUUUCAAAAAUUAUUGGAUUUUACUAAGAGAAACAUUAUAUCGUGUAGUAAAAAGUAAGAGAAAUUCAUGUUCAUGUUGUCCAACCACAUAGUUUACAAAUGAUAAUAACAUGAUUUUUAUAUUUUCUAAAUACAUAAUUAAUUUGAAAUAGAAAAAGCAAGAGAAAUUCAUGUUUCAUGUUUCGUAACCACACAUCUUACUUCUCAUAUUUUACUAUUAGGUUACUUUUUCACGUGCAUCAAAUGCGAAUAUUACCUUAUGUACCAAGAAAAAGAUUAUUCAUUUUUCCUUAUCCAUCCAUUACCAUCGACGCCACUACAAAGAAUCGAAAUCAAAUACAACAAGAUCUCCUAAAAUUAUUAAUUAAAAAUAACAUUUAAUAGGAUAAUUAAUUUUUCGGUAUGUAAUAAUAACGCAUGGCCAUUAGGCUGAGUAAGAAUACAAAUGUAUUUAACAUUUUUUUUGAUUGUACAAUAAAUUUGUGUAGACGGUUCACCCUUAUAGUUUGAGAUAGUUUAUAUGCGUCCGUCCAAUUUGAAUAUUUUUCGAAGAUAAAUAUACAUAUAUUAAAUAUGUUAGUGUUGGAUAAAUCAGCUAACCGGAGUCUCAUAAUUCAGUUUUGUUAAACAAGGAGUACUUAAGGAUGGUGUAUCUCAUCUACUUAUAUUUGCUUUAGAAUCCGUUAAUUAGAUACCUUGUGCCAUUUAAAAAUAAUAUUAAAAAAAAAUAUUAAGAAAACAAUACAAAUCGCAUUUGUUAUUUCAAAAUCAAUUUUACAAUAAGAUAAUACUUGGGUUAUUGACACACAAAUCCAAAUCACAAAUACAAGCCCAGUGGGCUUUGCAUUUCUCUUAAUGUACCGCCACAUUCCUAGGUUACUACGACACUCUCACUAUAUAUUAAGAAAAAACGACUAUAAAAAAUCUCUCCGUCUCUACGCCGAUAUAGUGCCCAAAAUGCUGAAAUCAAUGGAUUCAUUCAAAGAUCUCCAAUGCCAGAGGCCGCCUCACGAACCUCCGCCGCAAAGGUAUUUUCCCUAAUUCCAAAAUAAAGUUUUUUUCGAUUAGAUUGCAUGCAAAGUUGAUUUGAGUAUAAAAUUUAUUGUUCUAGAGAUGAUAGGUUUAAUUUGGAGAAACAAAUUUAAGAUAUUCUUUGUUCUCCAUGUUUGGUUUGUAUGGCAAAUUUAUGUUUUUCGUACUGCAUUGAUUUGCAUUGAUUCAGAUUUUUAUGAAUCAAACAUUUAUGUACACUAGACUUUGAUUCAUAUCCUUUUUUUUUAAUCAAACAUUUAUAUACGUUAAGAUAUUUUGUAUUUCUCUCUUUGAUUCAUAAAAAAAAAAGAUCGUUGAUUCAGAUCUGCGUCGCAUUACGCUUCUUUUUCUCUUUGAAACCUUUAAAACGAUAUUACUUUGUUUUGGGGGUGCUGAGAUUUAACUAGAUCUCGGUAUCUGAAUUUUGUAAUUUUGGUUUUUUUUUACUGAAUGUUUGUUUAAUCCUAUAUUUAAUUGGAGGAUUAAGAUAUAUUACUAUUUUACCUUAUUUUUUACAGUAAGAUUAUUUUUGAAUAUAACCAUUUCGAUUUCUCCGUGUAACUAUGUAACCACAUGCCAAAUGAACAUUUCUUUGGUAGUUGUUGUUAUAAAGUUAGAUAUGAUCAAAGUUUACUAACUAUCUCUUUUCUUUUUAUUUUGUUGUUGAUAGAGAGAUGUAGAUUCAUCAGAGAUGCAUUUCGAACAAUAUUCGUAACGUCAGCGGCAUAAUGGUAAGAAAUAUUUUCUAACAAAGUUAACUUUUUUCUCGCACAAUGUUUCUCAAAAUAUGUAUCACGAUAAACGAAGUUUAUGAAUUUCCUCUCAUGUUUCUUUUGUUAUUGACUAACCAAUGAAGUUUUACCGGAGGGUAGAGGCAGCAUGAACAUCUUAACAGUGUUCUCGUGAGCGACGCAACAAUGGUAAAACGAAUCUUCUUGAGCAACUCUCUUUGGAAAGUAUAAAUCAUGUUUGGUACAAGUUAUUUAUGAACAAAACUUAAUUUAUUUAUGAUGAACUAUUUUCCUUGUUUUGUACGAUGUAGAAGUCAAUUAUGAUUUGAGUUAAUGAACUUUCGAUUUUAUUCUUAUUUUAUUGUUGAAUGAUGAAAGAGGUGUACCAAAUAAGCAUAUCUAGAAGUAUAUAUAUAUAUAUAUAUAUAUAUAUAUAUAUAUAAAUUGUGCUCACAAGGGUAGAACCAAUCUCACUUAUAUGGAACUUUGACUAGUUAAUUUUUUUCUCGCAUUAUGGUUACAAGGUCAAUACUAAUUCAAAAAACGUUUAUGAAAACUCUCUCAUGUGUCUUUUGACGUUGACCAAUUGAUGAAGUAUGGCAAGUAUUGCUAUCGGAGCAUCUUGAAGAAUUAAUUCUUGUAGAAGGUCCAACUCAGCUUCCUUGAGGCAUUCCACAAAAGGGUAGAAUCGAAUAGAAAAUGUGAUAAUUUACAAACAUUGAUCUCUUCGUAAAAUAGACCUUUUUAUUCUUAUGACUAAUACGAAAAAAAUAAAAAAAUCAUAUCAUUCUUUUUCAAAAAUAGGAAUUUAUUCCAAGAACAAUUGUAAUAUCCCUCUUUGAAUCUGGAUCCAAGGACUCCAAUUUGUUAUCCCUAAUAUGACAUGGCCAACUAAAGAAACAUUAUAAUUUCGCUUGUGACUUAAGUAAAUCCAUUGGACAUAUGCAAAAUUGAUUAUAUAUCCGAUGGUUUGCGUUGAAUCCUACCACAUGGAUGUUGUAGGAUGGCGUUGGGGGGUUUCGAGGAGUCUAUUACGUAUUGGAGCCUUGUGUCGCUUAUUUUUAUUGGAUUUAAUCAACUUUGACAUUUGGUGAAGUGUGAUUGAAUUCUCAGUAUCGUACUUCUUUGAUAGUCUUCUUGCAUUGAAACUAACUACACCUAGUUUCUCUAUAUAACUCAUUCAAUUAUAUUGAGUGUUGUUAUCAAGAUUGCUAGGUGCAAAAAGUUGGUUGCCAUUUCUUUAGUCCGAGGCGCAAGCCGCUAGCCAAGAUGCUAGCGGUAGCCGAAUGAGGCGCAACAUUAUAUAUUUUAUGGUCUAUAUAGGUAGAAAUUAUUCGCUUCAGUCUCUUUGGUUGUCCAUUGUUUUUUUUCUAGCUAUAGUAGCUUCUCUCUUGUUCUUCAUAUUUGCUAUAUCAGUCACAUCACCAAUGUUUCUUGAUUAGAUAUUGUAACUAGUCUAUUUGGUUUAGAUUUUGGCAUUGAUACCGACCAAAUAGAACAAGAUGAUUUGUCUCGAGUGUUUAGCCCAGGAUGUAACUACAUAUGGAUAAACCUUGGAUAGAGGGCGCACCAUAAAAUCCAUGGAAACGGCUUCAGGCCUGGAUGCAUACUGCAUAGGUGAUGACAGUCCAGAUUUAUAGCCCCUUCAAGUUGGAAAAAAACAUAAACAUUGGAUGGGGACCGCACCAAAAAAUCCAUGGAAAUUACUUCAGGCCUGGAUGCAUACCGCCUAUUUGACGUAUGUCUAGAGUUUUGACCGUUCAAGUAGAAAAAUAAAAUAAACUUUGGAAGGAGGCGCACCACAAAAUGUAUAGAAAAUUCUUUAGGUCUGGAUGCAUCCAACCCUUGAACUCGACAAACAAAAAUAAAUAUUUGGAAAUAGGGAGCACCAUAAAAUCCAUCGCAAUUGCUUCAGGCUUGGAUGCAUAUGAUGACUGUCCAGAUAUUUGGCCCAUUAAAGUCAGUAAACAUAGUCAACUUCGGAAGGAGGGCGUACUACAAGAUCCACGGAAACUCGUUGAGGCACGGAACAUACUGUUUACAUGACGACUAGCCAAAUUUUAUUCAAGGGGUCGAACUGAAUAAACUUUGCAUUAAAACUACUUAAGAUCGGGAUGCCUAUUGUUUAGAUAUUCAUUCUUUCGAAAAUUAUUGGAUUUUACUAAGAGAAACAUUAUAUCGUGUAGUAAAAAGUAAGAGAAAUUCAUGUUCAUGUUGUCCAACCACAUAGUUUACAAAUGAUAAUACUAUUUAUAUUUUCUAAAUACAUAAUUAAUUUGAAAUAGAAAAAGCAAGAGAAAUUCAUGUUUCAUGUUUCCUAACCACACAUCUUACUUCUCAUAUUUUACUAUUAGGUUACUUUUUCACGUGCAUCAAAUGCGAAUAUUACCUUAUGUACCAAGAAAAAGAUUAUUCAUUUUUCCUUUUCCAUCCCUUACCAUCGACGCCACUACAAAGAAUCGAAAUCAAAUACAACAAGAUCUCCUAAAAUUAUUAAUUAAAACUAAAAUUUAAUAGGGUAAUUAAUUUUUCGGUAUGUAAUAAUAACGCAUGGCCAUUAGGCUGAGUAAGAAUACAAAUGUAUUUAACAUUCUUUUUGAUUGUACAAUAAAUUUGUGUACACGGUUCACCCUUAUAGUUUGAGAUAGUUUAUAUGCGUCCAAUUUGAAUAUUUUUGAAGAUAAAUAUACAUAUAUUAAAUAUGUUAGUAUUGGAUAAAUCAGCUAACCGGAGUCUCAUAAUUCAGUUUUGUUAAACAAGGAGUACUUAAGAAUGGUGUAUCCCAUCUACUUAUACUUGCUUUACAAUCCGUUAAUUAGAUACCUUGUGCCAUUUAAAAACAAUAUUAAAAAAAAUAUUAAGAAAACAAUACAAUUUGUAUUUGUUAUUUCAAAAUCAAUUUUACAAUAAGAUAAUACUUGGGUUACUGACACACAAAUCCAAAUUACAAAUACAAGCCCAGUGGGCUUUGCAUUUCUCUUAAUGUACCGCCACAUUCCUAGGUUACUACGCCGCUCUCACUAUAUAUAAAGAAAAAACGACUAAAAAAAAUCUCUCCGUCUUUACGCCGACAUAGUGCCCAAAAUGCUGACAUCAAUGGGUUCAUUCAAAGAUCUCCAAUGCCAGAGGCCGCCUCCCGAACCUCCGCCGCAAAGGUAUUUUCCCUAAUUCCAAAAUAAAGUUUUUUUCGAUUAGAUUGCAUGCAAAGUUGAUUUGAGUAUAAGAUUUAUUGUUCUAGAUAUGAUAGGUUUAAUUUGGAGAAACAAAUUUAAGAUAUUCUUUGUUCUCCAUGUUUGGUUUGUAUGGCAAAUUUAUGUUUUUCGUACUGCAUUGAUUUGCAUUGAUUCAGAUUUUUAUGAAUCAAACAUUUAUGUACACUAGACUUUGAUUCAUAUCCUUUUUUUUAAUCAAACAUUUCUAUACAUUAAGAAAUUUUGUAUUUCUCUCUUUGAUUCAUAAAAAAAAAAGAUCUAUGAUUCAGAUCUGCGUCGCAUUAAGCUUCUUUUUCUCUUUGAAACCUUUAAAACGAUAUUACUUUGUUUUGGGGGUGCUGAGAUUUAACUAGAUCUCGCUAUCUGAAUUUUGUAAUUUUUGUUUUUUUUUUACUGAAUGUUUGUUUAAUCCUAUAUUUAAUUGGAGGAUUAAGAUAUAUUACUAUUUUACCUUAUUCUUUACCAUAAGAUUAUUUUUGAAUAUAACCAUUUUGAUUUCUCCGUGUAACUAUGUAACCACAUGCCAAAUGAACAUUUCUUUGAUAGUUGUUGUUAUAAAGUUAGAUAUGAUCAAAGUUUACUAACUAUCUCUUUUCUUUUUAUUUUGUUGUUGAUAGAGAGAUGUAGAUUCAUCAGAGAAUCAUUUCGAACAAUAUUCGUAACGUCAGCGGCAUAAUUGUAAGAAAUAUUUUCUAACAAAGUUAACUUUUUUCUCGCACAAUGUUUUUCAAAAUAUGUAUCACGAUAAACGAAGUUUAUGAAUUUCCUCUCAUGUUCCUUUUGUUAUUGACUAACCAAUGAAGUUUUACCGGAGGGUGGAGGCAGCAUGAACAUCUUAACAGUGUUCUCGUGAGCGACGCAACAAUGGUAAAACGAAUCUUCCUGAGCAACUCUCUUUGGAAAGUAUAAAUCGUGUUUGGUACAAGUUAUUUAUGAACAAAACUUAAUUUAUUUUUGAUGCACUAUUUUCCAUGUUUUUUACGAUGUAGAAGUCAAUUAUGAUUUGAGUUAAUGAACUUUCGAUUUUAUUUUUAUUUUAUUGUUGAAUGAUGAAAGAGGUGUACCAAAUAAGCAUAUCUAG
This 8209-nucleotide long non-coding RNA is filed under the name Erythranthe guttata (spotted monkey flower). RNAcentral describes it as "long non-coding RNA (EGUT_LNC001951)". The record is from RNAcentral. Lineage: Eukaryota; Viridiplantae; Streptophyta; Magnoliopsida; Lamiales; Phrymaceae.